AGUUUUAGUUUUUAUUGAUUUUGCUGUUAUAUAUUUAUUAAACAAUGGAAUCCUUGAGACGUUUUAUCAUCUUAUAUUUACUUAUCAUUUUCGCAGAAUAAAUGUACUUCGUGUUUCACACUCUGGACAUGCUGGCUGAGCUGCUCCAAGUCUUUCAGGGAGCACGGCCUUUCAGGGGACACGCCGCCUGUGCAGCCCACGCUUAUCCCAGACACUCUCAGACAACUGCUCCUAAGAGGCACAUUCACCUAGAAAAGUGCACCAAAAAGGAAAAAAAUAGAACAGCGUAUUUUUUUCAGUGUUAUCACCUAAAUUUUCUCUGCCC
Molecule: long non-coding RNA, 325 nt
Filed under: Bos taurus (domestic cattle)
Lineage: Eukaryota; Metazoa; Chordata; Mammalia; Artiodactyla; Bovidae
Description: long non-coding RNA NONBTAT015140
Source: RNAcentral